RNAcentral lists this ribosomal RNA (581 nucleotides) under uncultured bacterium. Its description in RNAcentral is "bacterial SSU rRNA". It matches the Rfam family "Bacterial small subunit ribosomal RNA", at positions 340 to 917 of the family's 1533-position model. The record is from RNAcentral.
UACGGGAGGCAGCAGUAGGGAAUUUUCGUCAAUGGGGGGAACCCUGAACGAGCAAUGCCGCGUGAGUGAGGAAGGUCUUCGGAUCGUAAAGCUCUGUUGUAAGAGAAAAACGGCACUCAUAGGGAAUGAUGAGUGAGUGAUGGUAUCUUACCAGAAAGUCACGGCUAACUACGUGCCAGCAGCCGCGGUAAUACGUAGGUGGCGAGCGUUAUCCGGAAUGAUUGGGCGUAAAGGGUGCGUAGGUGGCAGAUCAAGUCUGGAGUAAAAGGUAUGGGCUCAACCCGUACUGGCUCUGGAAACUGAUCAGCUAGAGAACAGAAGAGGACGGCGGAACUCCAUGUGUAGCGGUAAAAUGCGUAGAUAUAUGGAAGAACACCGGUGGCGAAGGCGGCCGUCUGGUCUGGAUUCUGACACUGAAGCACGAAAGCGUGGGGAGCAAAUAGGAUUAGAUACCCUAGUAGUCCACGCCGUAAACGAUGAGAACUAGGUGUUGGGGGAAUAACUCAGUGCCGCAGUUAACGCAGUAAGUUCUCCGCCUGGGGAGUAUGCACGCNAGUGUGAAACUCAAAGGAAUUGACGGA